UGCCUGGUCUUCAGGAGCUGAGGAAUCGGGAAACCAUGCAAUUGAGGCGAGCCUUGUGCUGUUUUAGAGGCGCUGACAUCCGAGGAGACUUCUCCUGG
Castor canadensis (American beaver) is the source of this 98-nucleotide unclassified non-coding RNA. The record is from Ensembl. NCBI's taxonomy places the organism in Eukaryota, Metazoa, Chordata, Mammalia, Rodentia, Castoridae.